GAUGAAGAACGCAGCGAAAUGCGAUAAGUAGUGUGAAUUGCAGAAUUCAGUGAAUCAUCGAAUCUUUGAACGCACAUUGCGCCCCUUGGUAUUCCAUGGGGCAUGCCUGUUCGAGCGUCAUUUGUACCUUCAAGCUUUGCUUGGUGUUGGGUGUUUGUCCCUCGGGACUCGCCUUAAAGUCAUUGGCAGCCAGUGUUUUGGUUUUGAAGCGCAGCACAAGUCGCGAUUCAAGGCUAUCCGCCCGCUUCCACCAGCCUUUUUCACUUUUGACCUCGGAUCAGGUAGGGAUACCCGCUGAACUUAAGCAUAUCAAUAAGCGGAGGA
RNAcentral lists this unclassified non-coding RNA (324 nucleotides) under soil metagenome. RNAcentral's name for it is "partial contains 5.8S ribosomal RNA, internal transcribed spacer 2, and large subunit ribosomal RNA". The stretch from base 1 to 120 matches the Rfam family "5.8S ribosomal RNA", at positions 35 to 154 of the family's 154-position model. The record is from RNAcentral.